Molecule: long non-coding RNA, 1026 nt
Organism: Dermacentor andersoni
Lineage: Eukaryota; Metazoa; Arthropoda; Arachnida; Ixodida; Ixodidae
Source: RefSeq, a predicted model, not a curated record
CAGCCACAUGCCGCACAUGCGGCCAUUGCCGGCUCACGUAGGUUCGUUCGCGUGGUCUUGUUACGCCUCGCUGGAUCGUGUUCAGUCAUGCCGUCCUUGCGCGGCGUGAUUGUCGGUGAGUCAGGUUAAAUUCUUAAAUAGGUCGCGCCUGCGCCUAAUUGAGUCUAUAAAAGCCUGCACAUUCAGUUUUGCUAGCUACAAUGCAGUGCGGCUGGCGUGAGCUGUCUCCACGAUGCGCUUCGAGCGUGUCGAUUUCGCCGUUCUUUAUGUUGGCGUUAACGACCUUGAAAGCAACAUGGAUCCACAAGAAAUGUGCGACAACAUCAAGGCCUUGAUUGUUCAACGAGACGGCCCCCGUCGUGCUGGUUUUCAAGGUGCUCCCUCGCUGCUUAUAGAAGAUGCUGAUGCGGAAUAGAAAAUGCAAAAACGUCGCUUGCUCAACCGCAAAUUGACGGCUACGCUGAAGCGCAUGCCGUGUCUGCGGAAUUUGAACCCCGAGCUUUCCAGAGUUCCUUGGAAAAUCCUCCCAUGCACCUGCCAUGUACAUUGCCCUCCUCCUCGAUGUGGCGUGCAAGAUGGCAGCAGCAGCUGUGGGAACAGUUGAAGAGGCGAAGAAAGGUCUACUUUAUAAUAGGUUGUAUGUAAAUAAAACUGAUCGACCUCAACAGAUUCGGCUUCCACUUUUGUCAAGACAAUUGUCAGCAAAGCAAUGGAGCAAUUUCAGUAGGGCGAUAGUAAUAAAUAGUGCAUAGAAAUUCUUGGAAGCCCCGUCAGCUUUCUUGCUGUUAACAAGCUGUCUUGGUGAGGUGGUUUAGGCAGGGAAUGCCAAUUCAUGAGGGAUGGUCAUGGCCACCAUGUUCAAUGUAUGUGCAGCAUUAAUCAGUUCUCUAGACCGAGUGCACUAAUGUCACAUGAUACAUUUUCAAACCUCGCAUGCUUUCUUUGGGGCUGAGAAAAUUAAUGAAGCAUGAAACUCAGCAUGUUGCAGUUUUCAAUUAACCAUCACUGCAUUUGUCCAUUCUUGAA